GGACUACUGGGGUAUCUAAUCCUGUUUGAUCCCCACGCUUUCGCACCUCAGUGUCAGUACUGGUCCAGGAAGCCGCCUUCGCCACUGGUGUUCCUUCCGAUAUCUACGCAUUUCACCGCUACACCGGAAAUUCCACUUCCCUCUACCAGACUCAAGAUACCCAGUAUCGAAUGCAGUUCCCAGGUUAAGCCUAGGGCUUUCACAUCCGACUUAAAUAUCCACCUACGCGCGCUUUACGCCCAAUGAUUCCGAUUAACGCUUGCACUCUCUGUAUUACCGCGGCUGCUGGCAC
This 292-nucleotide ribosomal RNA is filed under the name uncultured bacterium. Its description in RNAcentral is "partial 16S ribosomal RNA". The record is from RNAcentral.